This 23492-nucleotide long non-coding RNA is filed under the name Oryza sativa (Asian cultivated rice). RNAcentral's name for it is "long non-coding RNA (OSAT_LNC001630)". The record is from RNAcentral. Lineage: Eukaryota; Viridiplantae; Streptophyta; Magnoliopsida; Poales; Poaceae.
CUUCAUCACCCUCCUGGUAAUAGGCAUAGGGAUCCUCCGAAGCUUCAUCUCCGGCCUCUUAUUAAGUUUGUAUAUUGCAAGGGUGAGUACCAACCAUACUUAGCAAGCCACCAUAGCAAUAAUGCAUAUCAUAGGGGUAUUCAAAGGAUGGAUACGGUUCUUUUGCGCAAAGCAAGUUUUGUAAUUCUUUUCACAAGCCUAAGACCUAGCACAGACUGAUCAAAUUUUAGUACCAGUGUUCAUAUUAAACAAUGACGGUUCUGUCCACCAUCCAUUGUGAUCCCAAGGAUAGCUUCCCGCCAUUGAGUCGUCAUGGUUUUCUGAGGACGUCCACCUUCCUGCCUCUCAAGAAGUGGCUCCAUCAGUAUAGAAAUCAUCAUGCAAUAUCCCAUCCCACACAAGUUAAGAAUUUAGAGUCUAGCCAAGUGUAAUACAUGUCCCGGUGCUCAAUAACCGCGAGCACGGCUAUUCGAAUAGAUUUGGUUUACUCACACUGCAGUGGAUGUACACUUUACCCACACUCCGCGACUGCCCAACACAUGAGCCUCGUCCCAACACAUGAGACGCGUCACGGCAAAGCUUUUCGAUAACCUCGCAUUGGCAGUACCCGCUCCAUGAACUUUACAUCCUCAUGCACUCUAGGCGUACACGGUUUCUAGCAGUGAGAGGAGUUCUGGCGCACCCGGGAAGGAAAGACUCACACAUGCAUUAAGUUAUAACUAGGUUUAAAUUCUCACAUGGCAGUCCUACCGAUGGCGACACCACUGUAGACACCCGCCUCGCGGUUCUACCAAUGGCUGCCCCACCGUAGAGCCCCUGUCUCACACAUCAAGAAACCACUAUGCAUGGAUACUGCCUCCGCUCAGCUAUCUAUUCCGCUAGGUCUAUACCCAUACGAGAAGUGCGGUUGUACGAGGGUCAUUUCAUGCUUAACUUCAUGGCUCGGUCCUUAAUUGACCGGGGACGGUACUAGCCUUUUCCGGAUACCACCCAAAUCCUCCGUCCGCCCCAGUCAAAAACAGUUGUUUAAUUUUAUUUCUCCUUUCACAAAUUAUGUCAUCAACAUCAUGGCAAUGUGGCGCUCAUGUCUCCACAUGCCGCAUCUCAAUUACCUUCCCAAAGGUAAUUGCCCAAGCAUAUAGCAUUUGAUAAAUAUGAGUAUGCAUGAUUCUAGAGUGGCAUCUCUAAGCAUUUGUCAUAGUUGACUAGGGACUCAUACGUAAUCAUGGUUACAAGGGAAUAAGGGUAAACAAUAAUCAAGGUAUGGCAUAUUCACAAAUAGGAUGUUCAUCAUUGCAUACAAUUUUAUUUGUAAACAAAAUAAUUUCGCAAUUGGGAUCAACAUGUUCAAAGAAUAGUGAUGAUUUGCCUUGCUCAAAUUCUUGCGGGUCUUGGCCUUCACUUGGAUCCGCAAUUCCCUCGGGCUCUAUAGUUACGUGCGAAAAUUGAUUUGAAUUCGGUUAGAAUUCAAAUAAAAAUCCAAAUAAAUCCAAAUGGAAGUCGAAUGCGAAAGUUGAUUCUUUUUUAUUAACUUUACUAUUCGCGAACUAGGGCAAACCCAAUUUCGAUUUAUACAUCCUAAACUAUUUUUGCGGGCAUAAAUAUUUUGUUACCAUAAGUUUUUAAUUUAAUCUACCCGAGCAUUAUAUCCAUAUAAUAGGUUAGAAAUUUCUAUCGCGAGCUAAAUAUCGGACAAAAUCCUAAAAUUAUCUUAUAAUAUUGUAUGAUUUAAUUUAGUCUAUGACUAAACGAUUAAAUAUAAUACACGGCUAAAAUUCCUAGUAAUUAAAUCCGAAUUCCUACUGUGAAUCGAUGACUAUAGAGAUUACCAAAAAUAAUCUAUAAUAAUCUAUAAGAAUUCAUCUAAUUGUUUAGUUAUUAAUUACAUCUAAAUUACUACCAAUUUUAAUCUAAUCCGAUCAAGAAACAUAUUUCUAUAAUUAACCCAGAAUUUUGAUCGAAAUACUAUUACACUCUAGGAAUUUCCAAAAAUAAUCUAUGAUUAACCCCGACCAUUUUUAUUUCCUAAAUCCUCCUAAUCUCUCCCCUAAUUUCUCUUCUAUUUUCACCUUUUAUUCUUUUCAAUUUUCCUCUCUUUCUCUUUCUCUCUUUUAUUUUCUUUUUCUUUCUCUUUUUCUCUUUUCUUUUCUUUUUCUUUCUCUUUCUCUCCUUUCUUUUCUUUUUCCUUCUCUUUCUCUCCCUCCCGGUUUCUCUCCUUCUUUCUUUCUUCUUUCUCUCCCUCGGCUUCUCCCUUCCUCUCUCUCUCGGCUCUCUCUCUCUCUCUCCCUACCCAAGGCGGCGGCGGCGACAGCGCGCUCGGAGGGGGGAGGGGGCGGCGGCUUACCGACGGCGGCGGCGGCGACGGCGACGCAAGGCAGCGACGCACGGCGCGGCGGCUCCGGGGCGACGGCGCGGCGGCUUCGAAGGCAGCGGCGUGGCGGCACGACGACGGUGGCGCGUGGAGAAGGGGGAGAGGGAGAGGAGGAGGGAAUGGAGUGGGGUGGAGAAGGGGGAAGGGGCCGGGGUUUUAUAGGGGAGAGGGGGAAGAAAGAGAGGGGAAGGAGGGGCCGGCCUGAUGCGACGGCGGCGCAGGGCUCGGGGCGGCGACGGGGCUCGGGGCGGCGCGGGGCUCGGCGUGCGGUGAUGGCGACGGGCGACGCGAUGGCGACGGGCGACGUGACGGCGAUGGCGACGCGGCGACGGGACGGCGCGGCGCAGCGCGGGGCUCGGCGCGCGGCGACGGUGACACAACGGCGACGGCGACGCGAUGGCGACGGGGCGGCGUGGGGCUCAAGGGCGACGGCGACACGACGGCGACGGCGCCGGCUCGAGGCGCGGGCGGCGGUGCGUGGCGCUGGGCUCAAGGGCGACGGGACGCGACGGUGAUGCGGUGCGGCAGCGGCGAUGGGACGGCGGCGCGACGAUGCGAUGGGACGGGCGCACGGCGGCAGGCGACUAUGGCGACGGCGCGCGGCGGCUCGGGGUGCGAGGCGGCCAGGCGUGACGGGCGGCGGCGCGUGGUAACGGUGGCGACAGAGAGGGGGGGAGGAGCUAGACUAGGCCCACAUCAAGCACCUAGGGGCUAAUGAAUAGUGACUUUUUCCUAUUUUUCCCAUUUUAGUCUAUUUCCUAUAAAUUUGAUUCUAUAAUUCCUAAUUUUUGCAUAUAUGAAUUUUACUCAAUAUUUGUGUUAUCCAACCAAUGAAUUCACCCUAGAUUAAUAUUACCCAUAUUUUAUUAUUUUUUUAUUUAUUUGAAUUUUUAAUUAGGAUUAAUUCUUGUUCCAUUGCAUUUAAAUCUAAUUGAUACAAAUACGGCCGCGAUGAUAUUUUAUUUAUUUCUAUCCUUACAUAAUAUUUAUUUUAAAUUAUAAUUUAUUUAUUUCUUUAACCAAAUCUAAUUUCAGGGUUAAUUCCUUAUUAACUUUCCCUUAUUUGUGAUCGAUGAAUUCCGAAAUCAAAAUCCAAUCAAAUCAUUGAAUAAAAUUGGCAUGAUGCAAUAUUUUUAAAAAGUUUUUGAAGGCCCAUAUUUUUAGAGUUUAGAUUUUUGUCGGUCGAAUUUUCAGGGUGUUACAGAAGCAUGCUGGUCUAAAAACCUGAAAGAAAGACAAAGUAAUCUUUCCAUAAACCCAAAAGGAAAAAACGGCGAAAAGUUAGGUUGUUUGCAUAGCAAUUUUGAAGAAAAAAAAGUUGAAUAAAAGCCACAAAAAGAAACCAAAAAAAUCCAGCUCAUCGUAUAAAAUACUCCCAACUGCCUCGCUUCCCUUCCCCUCUAGCUUCUACUAGUACUCGUUCUGCACACACGCACACCACCUCUCUCCUCUCCUCUCCUCCCUCCGCGCGUGCGCCUCCAGAUUUGGCCACCUCCGCCACCGCCAAAUCGGAGCGUGGCCUCGGCCUUGCCGUUGCCAGGUGAGCCUGGCGAUCCGAUCCUCCUCCCCUCAUGCUCUCGUUGUUUUUUUUCCCACUCAGAUUUGGCCGAUCCGUGUGUGUGCCCGAUCUACCGCGACGGGGGGAAUGGAGGCGCGGCGUGGUGUUGCAGUGGCGCGAUCUGGAGUGUGUGUGUGUGUGUGUGUGUGUGUGUGUGUGUGUGUGUGUGUUUUCUCGAUGUGGUGUGUGUAUUUAGUGGGGAUGGGGGUUGUGAUCUGAUGCGGUUCGGUUUCGCUGUUUGGGGGGAAUGCUCAUCGAGAGGGAUUGGGUUGAUGGUGUCAGGUAGAUCUGGAUCAGCUUAGCCGAUUGGGUUGUGUGCGUGCUGGAAAUUUAGGUAGGGAUGUGAGCUGCUUGGGUUGUGUGCAUGCUGGAAAUAUAGGUAGGGAUGUGAUCUGCGAAGCCUCGUGAAUCACACCUGCGUUUUUGGCCGGGUUGGUGGUGGAGAUGGGCUUGGAUCGCAUGGGUGCUACCUAUGUUGAAUUCUGCGCGCCCACGUGAAACUUUGAUUCGUACGGUAGUUAAUUUUCCUUUUUCGUUUUGCUUAUAGUUCCUGUUCCGUUCGUGUGCUGACCAUGCUACGAUUUAGGCAAGUUUUUUUUUGGGUAGCAACUAAUUUUGUUGCUGGUGAUGAAGCCUUGUCAGAUGCUGAGCAAUAGUGCGGAGUAUCCGACUUGUAGUGAUUGGAUCAUGGGAGUUACUGGGCAACCCCAAGGGUCAGCAUUCCUUGGUGCUAGAAUUUGUGGUGUCUGCUUUUAGACAACCGUAUGUGUAAUCUAAAUUUCUGUUCUCUUGAAUGAGAGAAGGGAAGGGAAGGUUCUUUUUCUUUCUGGAAAGCAGUAGAGUGACUAAUGAAUAUGAUGGGGGUGAGGAGGGAAAUGUUCACAUAUCGCGUUACGGCUAUCUUCUUGUUGAACCUUCUCAUCUCUAUUAUGAGCAAAUUUUGUCCCAAUUGUGGUUCUUUGUGAGUCACAGUGCUAGUUUUGUUUAUUAGGAUGUAGCUAUGCCAGCAGAUACCAGUAGGACACAACAUACCACACAAUAAGCUACUUUGUAAAAUGCAUCACAUUAAACACCUAAUGCCAUGCCAUCCUUAUUUGAUGUGCUUAAUGUUCUAAAAGUUGGCCCUAGGCACGGCGCAUGUUUUAGGAGCUAUGUGCUAUGUCUCGGCUGUGAUAUUGCAUUUGGCGGUGCACCUGCCUUGGUAGCUCUAGUGCUGAUAUUUUAAUUGUCUUUAUUUUAUGUGAUAUGUUUGGUAAUUGCUAGGAAACCCCUUGUCAAGUUGAUCCUAGGCGGUGUUAGGUGCCUGUAGCUGCUAACCUUGCUGACCACCUAGUAGUGUUUAUCACCUUAUUGAGCAUUGUAUGCGCUAUGACAGCCAGCAAUGUGGUGACUGGCUUGUGUGCACCUGUGGUUUAGUGUACACCUCACUGCCUUGGCUGCACAGCAUGACUCAUUAGUUAUGGUGCACAUGCCCCAAACUGAUGUUCGUACUUUCCUCACAGGCCUAGAUUUGUGUACGGUGAUUUGAUUUCUGUUUGUGUUAUUUUUUGCAUGCAUGAUUUUCAGGGAGUUACACUCGGGUAGGGAUUUGGAUGUGGGAUUUAAUGCUUAUUUGGUUUGUGGGUAGACGUAGUGUGAUUGCAUAAUUCCCUAUGUCAUGGUUUAACUUGAACUUUGUAUCAGUGUGGAGAUAUAUUCGUUUUGAUGUAUAGAUCAUGAAAUGGUAAUCUGUGUGCCUUUUCUGUCUGAACCAUGUUGAAUAUCCCCUAUAUCCCAAAAUAUAAGUAUUUCUGGAGUUUUGCACUGUGAUUAAGGAAGUAGGUGAAAUUAAAUGGGAGAUGGUUUUCAUUUGUUGAGAUGGGGAAGUAGGUGGAAAGAAAUUAAAUGGGAGAUAGUUGUGAUUUGUUGAGAUAAGGGAGUAGCUGAAGUUGCUAUUGUUAGGAUCGUAGGAUCACUAGGUGCACAUCAUAGGGGUUGAUGUCUAAGCUCAUAGCGGUAUAGUUGAUUGCUUGUGGGAGUAAACAGAGAGAGAGAGAGAUGUGGGACACAUACCUUCACCCUUAGAGGUAGACUCGGACAUGCCGACGGUGUCGGCGCGGCGUAGAUGUCCCCGGGGUCGGCGAUGUCGGUGUAGGCGACGGCGGUAGCGGCAGCGAGAACGAGGGCAUUUCCCCUCACUUCAGCGCGUCCCAGAUUGGUAGGAGUCUAGGGUUUGUGGGGAGUCCGUGUAUGCAGCGAAUGUUUUGUUCGCGCGCCCAGCGGCACCCCCUCUUUAUAUUGUGCUGCGUGAGAGGGGCCCACUACCAAUAGAUCGGCUGGCGCCCCCGAUCAGGGCGCGUAGGCGGAGUGGGGAAUCGGUUUCCCGAUUCCCCCGGAGAUCGCAACUAACAUUCUCCCCUUUGAUCUCCGCCUUUCUUACUUCUCUUACUUAACAUUUACUUCUCAAUAGAUUGAUGCAUAGAGCACGCUUCAUCCGAUAGUCACUACUGAACCAUCAAACGCAACGACUACAAUGCACCUCCUCAUCUAGAAAUAAACACUAGGCCCUUUUGUAAUCCAAGGAUCAUAAGCUUUCCUAUAAAACCCAUGCUGGUUAAGUGUUCUCUGAACACACUGGGCGGUAAGCCUUUUGUAUACAGAUCUGCUAACAUUUCCUUUGUUCUUAUAUGCUCAGACUAAUGGUCUGAUCCUGGAUUUUCUCUUUCACAACAUAAAACUUAAUGUCAAUGUGUUUGGCAGCACCACUCGACUUAUUGUUGUGAGCAUAAAACAUUGUUGGCUCAUUGUCGCAGUACAUAUUGAGUGGCCUUUGAAUGUUGUCGACUACUUUCAACCCAGGUACAACUUCUUUAACCAUUUUGCUUGCCCUGUGGCCUCAUAACUAGCUACAAACUCGGCAUACAUCAUCGAUGAUAUGCUAUGACGGUUUGCUUGGAGCUUUUCCACGAAAUAGCCCCUUUUGCGAGAGUGAAUAUGUAGCCUGAUGUGGACUUUCUAUCAUCUACAUCUCUCGCAAAAUCUGUAUCUGAAUACCCUUCUAUCUCUAGGGAAUCAGAUCUUCUGUACGUUAGUAUGAGGCCUUUUGUGCCUUGCACAUAACGCAAAGCUUUCUUUACCAUUCUCCAGUGAUCUAUUCCUGGAUUUCCUUGAUAUCUGCCAAGUAUCCCAGUAACAAAAGCUAAGUCAGGGCGCGUACAUACUUCAGCAUACUGCAAGCUUCCGAUAGCCGAAGCAUGUGGAACAACUUUCAUUUGAUCGAUCUCAAACUGGUUCCUGGGACAUUGAAAUUUCCCAAAUCUAUCGUCCUUGACUAUGGGAGCAGGUGUAGGCUUACUCGCAUGUAUACUGUAUUUCUUUAGUACUUUUUCCAGAUAUGCCUUUUGCGAUAAUCCUAAAACCCAUUUUCUUCUAUCUCGGUGAAUCUCUAUUCCUAGAACAGAUAAGGCUUCACCAAGAUCUUUCAUAUCAAAAUUCGAGGACAAAAACUUUUUCGUCUCCAAUAGUAGAUCAACAUCACUACUAGCGAGUAGGAUGUUAUCUACAUAUAGGAUUAGGAAAAUAAAUCUUCUAUUUCCGAACUUUGCGUAAACACAAUUGUCCUCUUCAUUCUCAUUAAACCCAAACCUUCUUAUUACUUCAUCAGACAUUAAGUACCACUGUCUGGAGUGUCUGGAGGCUUGUUUUAAUCCAUAGAUGGAUUUCUUCAUAUGGCAUCCCAUUUAUUCUUUUCCUUCCACAACAAAACCCUUGGGUUGUGCCAUGUAGACGUUCUCAUAUAAAUCCCCAUUAAGGAAUGACGUCUUUACAUCCAUUUGAUGUAGUUCUAGAUCAUAAUAUGCCACAAGUGCCAUUACGAUCCCGAAGGAAUCUUUACCUGACACGGGAGAAAAGGUCUCAUUAUAAUCAAUUCCUUCUCUUCAAGUAAACCCUUUUGCCACAAGUCGUGCUUUAUAUCUUUCUACAUUCCCUUUAGAGUCACAUUUUGUUUUGUAGACCCAUUUGCAGCCUACUGUUUUGGCUCCUUUAGGAAUUUCUUCUAAGUCCCAAACUUUGUUGGUACUCAUUGAUCUUAUUUCAUCUUCCAUGGCUUCAAGCCACUUCGAUGAAUGAGCACUUCUCAUGGUUUCUUCAAACGAGGUGGGAUCACCCUGUGUUUGAACUUCUUCACUAGCAUAGACUUGGUAGUCACUAAGAAUAUCUGUCUUUCUUUCUCUUUGAGAUUUUCUAAGUUGUGGUACAUCUUCUAUUUGGGGCUGAUGUUGCUCUUCCUCUUGUGUGACAACUAGUUCUGUAGGAUCCUGAAUCUCAGGUUCCUCUUGCUCAUUCGUUGUUGUCACAGGAGAACUAACAUCAGGUGUUGUCACAACAACAUUCUGUGUUGUCGGUGUUACAUCAACAGGUAUCGAGAAAAAGGGUUCUUGAAUCAUCGGAGUCGGUAGAUGUACCCGCUUCUCCUCAAGACUAAUUUAUCGGGGUACCAUGCUCCCCCUGACUAUCUCAUCCUCCAGAAACAAUGUGUCUCAUUUCCACGAACUUGGUGUGUCUAUCAGGACAGUAGAAACGAAAACCUUUCGACUUCUCAGGGUAGCCAAUGAAAUGGCAACUGACUGUCUUGUGAUCUAGCUUCCCAAUAUUUGGGUUAAAUAACUUUGCCUCAACUUGAUAGCCCCACACCCGUACAUAAUUUAGCAUGAAUUUCCUUCCUGUCAAUAGCUCAUACGGUGUUUUGGGUACCGACUUACUUGGUACUCGAUUAAGAAUAUGGGCAGCGGUUUUUAAUACCUCCAUCCAUAGUCUUUCUGCUACUCCGAUCUAUUGAGGCUCGUCCGGUGCGGAGUACUGGGCUACUAUGCCAUAUGCCAUUUUCCUGUAGAAACCUUGCAAAAGGUCCAGGUAUUUGGCCAUAAGGGGUAUGCCGAGCAUAGUAGUACUCUCCUCCACGGUUGGACCUUAUUGCUUUAAUCUUUAGAUCAUAAUGAUUUUCUUUCCUUUAAUACAAUCUAUGCAAUAUUCUGAAUCCGUAAUGUCUAACGGAUACAAAAUUUCUUCUUUAAUAAAUCGUUCAAUUCUCCCCUUCAAAAUGUGGCCUAAACGACAGUGCCACAAUUUCGCCGUGGUUUCCUCAUUGCAUCGUUUGCGCUUACUUCUUACAUUCGUAGACGAGGAAGACACACUAUUGCAUGCAACAUUCACUUCAUUGCAUACAACAUUCACAUUACUAUUGCGUCUUUCUGCUCUUUGAAGAGUCCUCCUCGUACGGAAUCCCUUUCUUUAUAAGAUGCUUCAGGAAUUCAGGGCAAUCCUUCUGAUAGUGCCCCUUCUUGCACUACUUGGCAAUGAGCUUCUCAAAGUCCCAGUUUUCGGGCAAUGAAUUGUAGUUCACAACAAAAGCCUCAAAAACUGAAGGCAAGGAGGAAAAAUUAAGGUGAACUAGGAACUCAUCAGGAAGAACUAAAGUCCAUCUUCUUGAGCUUUGAAGCGAUGCCACUCAUCUUCAAAAUAUGCUCUCUAACCCCUUCGCUCGUAUACUACAUGGUUACUAACCUCUUGUUAGGGAUUUCGCACAGGCCUUUAAAGAACCAGUGAACUGAUUCUCCACCCAUUGAAGGUACUCUAUGGCAGUGGGAUUGCUCCCCUUAUUGCCUCCACAAUGGAGCUCUUGAUCACCAUCAAGCACUUGCAUUUUGAUGACUCCUACUUCGCACGAUCAGUGUUGUACUUCUGUACUAUUGGAGCAUUGUCCAACGUUCUCUGCUUAAAAGCAUCUUCACUCUCACCUUCUGCCCUCACUGGAGCAAUAGCUCAGUGGGGCAAGACUCGGUGAGAGCUAAAACUAUAUCAGACAUCGCAAGUGCUAUAUCUAUCUUCUCUCUCGCAUGAGCCUUAGUUAUUCCCGUUAAGGGGCUCACAAUGGCCGAGAUGUGAACUAAUGGGUUAGUAGAUCCUAAAGCAAAUUAAAGAAUUGAGAAACAUUUAAACCUUUUGCAUGUUUUAAUUUAGCUCUAUUUCUUCGUUAUUGUUAUAGGAAGUCCGAGUGAGGUUUCAAGGAUUUGGGGCUGAAGAGGAUGAAUGGAUCAAUGUCCGGAAGGCUAUCCGACUGUAAUCCAUCCCGCUAGAAUCAUGAGAAUGCCGACUCAUCAGGGAAGGAGAUAUUGUCCUCUGUUUCAAGAUAAAGGGUAAUAAAUUUCCCUUAUUUUUUCCUGAAAUAAUAACUGAGGCUAUACAAUACCGUAGAUAUUAUAUGUUGCACUGCUGCGACUUUCUACGUUUGUAUCAUUUUGAUGGAUUUUUUUUAAAUGUAAUUUUUAUCGAAGUUUUUCAUUUCCUCAUUGUGAUUUGUUCAUCAGGAGAGCAAUGAUGAAGCAUUGCAUUUUGAUCAUGAUGGAACCCAGGUAAUUUUAACCAUUCCUACCUAUCGUUAGAACAAAAAAUGAUAUGCCGUUCCUGCGAAUGUUCAUCCAGUAAAUCACAAAUGAUAUGUCGUUCAUGCGAAUGAUAUUGUAUUCUUCCCCAUAUUUCCCAACUCACCUCCCUCGUAUCGCGCGCGUACGCUUUUUAAACUAUCAAAUGGUGCGUUUUUUUUUGCAAAAGGUUUUUAAGUUGCUUUAAAAAUAAUAUUAAUCCAUCUUUAAAACAGUUUAAUAAAUACUUAAUUAAUCGUAAGAAAAUGCGUUGCUUCAUUUUGCGUGCGCGGGAGGUGAGUUUCCAACCUCACCACCCGAACUAAUUUAGCUUGAUGCUAAAAAACUUAUGUUUUUUUUCCUUUCUGGUGCCAGGAGAGGGUGAACCUGAGAAGAUUGUCCCAGCGGCCGAAGCACUCUUAAUGGCUUGUGUCAAACUGUCGAAUACACGUGUGCCUCUUGCCAUAUGCGCUAAUGUUGAACUGAGAGGAACUGAGAGGUUGUUUGGUUGAUGGCUAAGUUUACCACACCUUACUUUAUGGGGUUGUUUGGUUGAUGGCUAAGUUUACCAUAUCUCACUUUGUCACAAGUGUGUUAUGCCACAAAAAGUGAGGCUAACAAUUUGUUGGCCACAAGUGUGGCUAAGUUUGGUAAGAAUUUGAGUCUAUAACGUGUAGGCCCAAUGAUUUUGUAAAGUGAGGCAUGAUACAAGUGUAGCAACCAACCAAACACUGUACUAACAAAUUGUGGCAUGCCUAAGGUUUGGCAUGGCAAUCUUUAGAAGCCAACCAAACAGCCCCUCAAUCCGAUAGUUAGGGUCUAAAAUGUUUUAUGAACUCAUGAGUAACCCCAUGUGAUGGUACAUUUCAACCCACUCACUUGGGCAAAUUCCCAUUUGAAUUGCUGUUUGUGAGGUCCUUGAUGUCUAAAUUUUGGACAUGGUAAGAAGAGCAUACUUCCUCCGUCAAAAAAAAACUCAACCUAGGAGGGGAUGUGAUCUAGAUUCUAGAUAAAGGGUAGCCAGAUUUGUUGUCUUAGAAGGGAUCACAUGACUCAUAUUCUCUUAAUAGGUUAAGUUUUUUUUAAGGACGAAGGAACUCUUAUAGGUUAAGUAUUUUUUAAAGGAUGAAGGAAGUAUACGAUAAUAUGACCGGCUCCAAGAACUAUCAGGAUUUGAACUUUUUUAAAUGCAUUGUGUUGGGGUAAGAUUUCACAUUUCCAUGGAAAUUUGGUGAUUUUCAUCUGCUUAGCAGGGGACCCCUCCAUCCGCCGCUCGGCCCCACCGUCCCCGCGCGCCACGUCAGAUCACCGCGGAGGUGGGCUCCACCCGCAGCGACCCAUCGAGGUACUCCUCUCUUCAACUGCUACUAGUACUAUCUCCUCCCGUCUCGUGCUCUUGCGCGCCCCCGCAUCUCUCUCUCCUCGCCUAGGGUUUCACGCCCUCCGAUCCCGCGGCGGCGGCGAAGCUUCCACUCGCCUCGGCGGCGGCGCCGGCCAGGUGAGGCAGCAGCUCGGGCUCUCUCUCUCUCUCUCCUCUUGUUUCUUCCUCUCGCCGUCGGAUCGGAUCGGGGCGGGUCCAUUCGUUGCGGCUUCUCCUGUAGAUCUGUGGCCCGUGCUCAUGCUCGAUCUGUACUGUAUCCGCGGGGUGUGUGUGAUCCGUGUCGCGUUCUUUUGGUUGGUUUUCUGCGGGAUGGAUGCGUUUGAUUAUGGUGCGGGUGGUUUUUUGGUGAGUAGGUGGGGGCGUCCAGAUCCAUGCGCAUGGAUGGAUCCUGGGUUGGUGUGUUCGUUGGUAGUUGUGAUUAUCCGGCGGGUAUCGGAUCGAUGCUAGUGAAGUAUGUGAUCGAGAGCGAUGUUUUGGUUGGUUAGGUGGUUGGCAGGGAUUUGUGCUUGGAUUCUGGGACAAGUUUUCGUUUCGUGACGUUGCUGACAUGCUUGGUUUGAAGGAAAAUAAUAAUAAUAAUGAUUAGGCGUAGAUAUAUGCUAAAUUUGACUCCGGAUCCAAGUCAAUUUUACCAAUUUUGAUAGGAAUUGAGCGUUGCGAAAGUUACCAUUCUUGCUAGGUUGACAUGUCAAACUUAACUUUGAGCAGGUAAUUUUCCAUUGCAAUUUUUUUUGGGAGCAAUCCAAUUCUUCUAUUACGGGAAUUUGCAAAAAAAAAAAAACUUGCAUAAAUCGCAGCAAUGGUCAGCACAUGAACGGAACAGGAACUACAAGCAAAAUGAAAAAGGAAAAUUAACUACCGUAUGAACCAAGUUUCACAUGGGCGUGCAAAAUUCUGCACAGGUAGCAGCACCCGUGCGAUCCAAGCCCAUCUCCACCGCCAACCCGACCAAAAAACACAGCUGUUGAUUCACAAGGCUUCGCAGAUCACAUCCCUACCUAAAUACCUAAAUUUCCAGCAUGCACGCAACCUAAGCGGGCAUGCUGAUCCAGAUCUACCCGACACCAUCAACCCAAUUCCCCCUCCUCCAAACAGCGAAACCGAACUGCAGCAGAUCACAACCCCCAUCUCCACUGAAUCCAAACACCACAUCGAGAAAAAAAAAACACACUCUAGAUCGCGCGACCGCAACACCGCGCCCCGCCCCCAUUCCCCCGCGGCGCGGUAGAUCAGGCACACACGGAUCGGCCAAAUCUGAUGGGGAAAAACAAGGAUAACAUGAGGGAAGGAUCGGAUCACCGGGCUCACCUGACAACGGUGAGGCCGCGCUCCGAUCUGGCGGCGGCGGCGGCAGUGGAGGUCGCCAAAUCUAGAGGCGCACGCGCGGCGAGUGAGGGAGGAGAGGAGAGAGGCGGGGUUAGGGGCGUGCAUGCAGGAGUACUAGUAGAAGCCAUAGGGGAAGGGGAAGCGAGGCAGUUGGGGUAUUUUAUAUGAUGAGCUGGAAUUUUUUUUGUUUCUUUUGCGGUUUUUCACCCUUUUUCUUGAAAAAAACUACUAUGCGUAAUUCGUCUUUCUUUUUUUUUUUUUUGUGUUGGUGGAAAGACAACUCUUUUAGAUUUUAGACUGGCAUGCUUCUUGUUAAAUGGAGAGAACGAAAGAGAGAUAGGGUCCUCUGCAAUACUCACCUGAGCCUAUGGCAGCUCCAACUCUCAGAUUCACCUCAGUUCUGACUAGAGCGCAACCAAACGGUCCAGCUCCACAAAAAAAUGGAGUGGAGUAGGCCAGAUCGCUCCAAAAAAUUGUACUAGCUGCGCUCCCAACUCCAACUCCAGAGGACCCUAUCUCUCUUUCGUUCUCUCCCUUUAACAAGAAGCAUGCCGGUCUAAAAUUAAAAUCUGAUAGAAUUAUCUUUCCACCAACACAAAAGAAAAAAAAGAAAGACGAAUUAGGCAUAGUAGUUUUUCAAGAAAAAAAAGUGAAAAUACCGCAAAAGAAACAAAAAAAAAAUCCAGCUCAUCAUAUAAAAUACCCCAACUGCCUCGCUUCCCCUUCCCCUCUGGCUUCUACCAGUACUCUUGCACGCACGGCCCUAACCCCGCCUCUGUAAAUUCUUUCUCUCUCUCUCGCGGCGCGUCCGCCUCUAGAUUUGGCGACCUCCGCCACCGCCGCCAGAUCGGAGCGCGGCCUCGCCACCGCCAGGUGAGCCCGGUGAUCCGAUCCUCCCCCUCGUGUUCUCGUUGUUUUUUCCCCUCAGAUUAGGCCGAUCCGUGUGUGCCCGAUCUACCGCGCCACGGGAGAAUGGGGGCGGGGCGGGGUGUUGCGGUGGCGCGAUCUGGAGUGUGUGUGUUUUUUCUUUCAGUGGGGAUGGGGGUUGUGAUCUGUUGCGGUUCGGUUUCAUUGUUUGGAGGAGGGGGGAAUUGGGUUGAUGGUAUUGGGUAGAUCUGGAUCAGCCUGGCCGCUUGGGUUCCGUGCAUGCUGGAAACUUAGGUAGGAAUGUGAUCAGCCUGGCCGCUUGGGUUCCCCACUGACCAGAUCACAACCCCCAUCCCCACUGAAUCCAACAGAUCCGUGCAUGCUGGAAACUUAGGUAGGAAUGUGAUCUGCGAAGCCUCGUGAAAUCACACCUGCGUUUUUGGUCGGGUUGGCGGUGGAGAUGGGCUUGGAUCGCAACGGGUGCUACCUAUGCAAAAUUCUGCGUGCCCACGUGAAACUUUGGUUCGUACUGGAGUUAAUUUUCCUUUUUUGUUUUUGCUUGUAGUUCCUGUUCCGUUCGUGUGCUGACCAUGCUGCGAUUUAGGCAAGUUCUUUUUUUGGUAGCAACUGAUUUUGUCGCUGGUGAUGAAGCCUUGUCAGAUGCUGAGCGAUAGUGCGGAGUAUCUGAGUUGUAGUGAUUGGAUCAUCGGAGUUACUGGGCAACCGCAAGGGUCAGCAUUCCUUGGUGAUAGAAUUUGUGUUGUAUGCUUUUAGACAACCGUAUGUGUAAUCUGUAUUUCUGUUCUCUUGAAUGAGAGAAGGGAAGGGAAGGUUAUUUUCCUUUCAGUAGAGUGACCAGUGAAUAUGAUGGAGUGAGGAGGGAAAUGUUUACUUAUCGCGUCACGGCUAUCUUGUCCCAAUUGUGGUUCUUUGUGAGUCACAGUGCUAGUUUUGUUUAUUAGGGUGCAGCUAUGCUACCAGAUACCAGCAGGACACAACAUACCACAAUAAGCUACUUUGUAAAAUGCAUCACAUUGAACACCUAAUGCCAUGCCAUCCUUAUUUGAUGUGCUUAAUGUUCUAAAAGUCAGCCCUAGGCAUGGCGUGCUAGGAGCUAUGUGCCAUGUCGCAGCUGUGAUUUUGCAUUUGGUGGUGCACCUUCCUUGGGGGCUCUAGUGCUGAUAUUUUAAUUGUCUUUAUUUAUGUGAUAUGUUUGCUAAUUGCUAGGAAACCUCUUGUCAAGUUGAUCUUAGGCGGGGUUAGGUGUCUGUAGGUGCUAACCUUGCUGACCACCUAGUCACCUUAUUGAACAUUGUAUGCGCUAUGAUAGCCAGCAAUGUUGUGACUGGCUUGUGUGCACCUGUGGUUUAGUGUACACCUCACCGCCUUGGCUGCACAGCAUGACUCAUUAGUUAUGGUGCACAUGCCCCAAACCGAUGUUCGUACUUUCCUCACAGGCCUAGAUUUGUGUGUGGUUAUUUGGUUUCUGUUUGUGUGAUUUGCAUGCAUGAUUUCAGGGAGUUACACUCGGGCAGGGAUUUGGAUGUGGGAUUUAAUGCCUAUUUGGUUUGUGGGUAGGCGUAGGCCCUCUUUGUUUAGGCUUAUAAGCCUACUUAUAAGUCGAAAAGUCUAAGUCAAAACAAACAAGCAGCUUUUUCAUUUGGCUUUUUUGAAGCCAUAAGCCACUCUAACACUAUUAAGCCAAAAGCUAGGUUGGAGAAGCUUUUUUGGCUUAUAUGAGAUAGAUGUAUGACUCCACCACUAAACUUAGGACAUUAAAUCCACUGGCUUAUAAAUCAUAUAAGCCAAUAAGCUGACUUAAAAGUCUAGGCCAAUAAGCCUAAGCCUAAACAAAGAGGGCCGUAGUGUGAUUGCAUAAUUCCCUAGGUCAUGGUUUAACUUGAACUUUGUAUCACAGUGUGGAGAUAUAUUCGUUUUGAUGUAUAGAUCAUGAUAUGGUAAUCUGUGUGCCUUUUCUGUCUGAACCAUAUUGAAUAUCCCCUGUGUCCCAAAAUAUAAGCAUUUCUGGAGUUCUGCAUGGUGAUUAAGGAAGUAGGUGGAAUUAAAUGGGAGAUGGUUUUCAUUUGUUGAGAUGAGGACCUUGCUGUCAUCCCAGUCUCAGCUGGAGAAAUUAAACGGUAGAUGGUUGUGAUUUGUUGAGAUAAGGGAGUAGCUGAAGUUGCUAUAUUUUGGCACGGAGGGAGUUACUAAGUGGAGAAAAGAGGUAUGGACUUGGCUUGCAUAUAAUUGAUUUACUAGGGUAGUGUUCUUGUUUUCGUUUCCAGGUAAGUGGGGUCAUUCUGGCACAUAAUGUUUUCAGUGAAUUUUGCCUGAUUUCUUAUCAUGUGUGGUCACAUUUCUUAAUUCCGAAAAACAUAUUAUAACCAAUUGCCCUUGCAUAUGAUGAAUAUGAUCUUACUGGAUGUGUGUUCAUUUAUGCUGUGAUGUUUACUGAUUCCUUUUACAUAUCUGAAGGGACAUGGGAAUGGAGGUUGUUGGAACUGAGGCUGCACCAGCAGAGGUUAAAGUAACUGAUGGAGAAGUGAACCUUUUCCAAGAGAAUGAAAGUAAAGCAACUGCCAAGGAACGUGAGGAGGCGGUUCUUUUUGGUUCAGAUAACAGCACAGCUACAGCAAAUGGAGCCGCAAAUGGCGCUGAUUUGGCACCCCCAAAGGAUGCAGAGGAGGACUGGCCUGAAGCUAGGAAAACACAUAGCUUCUUCUUUGUCAAGAUCCGCUUACUUGAGGACCCUAAGCUGAAAAUGAAGAUUGAUCAGGCAGAAAAGGACUUCCAGAAGAAGAUUCAAGCUCGUUCUCAAAUUUUUGAGGCUAUAAAAGCCAAGAAGGUAUGGUCCUAGUUCUUACAGUUCUAGUACAUAUAAAUAUGGUCAAUCUUGUUUAAAUUUUAUCCUAAAUCAGCAAGAAGUUAUAUUCCUUACAACUUGUUUAAAACGACUGUCAUCUGCUAUUGAUGCUAGAGCCUAGAAUAUGUUGCCAAUUUGAGCAGACUACGAAAUUUUGGUGAUAUGUCUGAUUUUGGAACUUAAUCUGCAGAAUGAGCGCUUCGGUAUUAUCUCAGAGCUGAAGCCAUUGGCUGCUGAGAACAAGCAAUACAACGAAGCCGUAAGUGAGAAGUUGAAGGCGAUAGAACCUCUUAGAAACCGUUUAGGAAAGUUCCGCGAUGAAAACAAUGCUAUCCGGGCACAGGGUGCAGGCAUAUGUUCUUCAAUUGAAGAGCUUGAGAAAUCGGUAUGGCAGUACGGUUAACCUAUGAUAAUUUAUUUUUCUGUUCUUCAGUCCAAUAUUUGAUUACAUGUUUGUGCCUUCUCCAUUGCUUUGUCCUAUUAGAUCAAGAGAUUGAACGACCGCAUAUCUCAUGAGAGCAUACCCUUGGAUGAGGAGAAGCGGUUGAUCAAACAGAUUAGAGAGCUUGAAAAGACCAGACCGAAAGUCAUCUCCACUUCUGCUAACCGAGCUCAAAUCCAAGAUACAGUGGUCGAAAGAGACGCCAUACAGGAUCAGGUUAAAGUAAGUAUAUACAACUAAAUAUUUGUUUGUGCAUUUAUCUUCUUGAAAAAAAAAUAGAAUUAAUAAUGGCCAAACAUUGUUUGCAACUGUUACUUCAGAUCAUCGGGGAGGGCAUUGAUGGAGUAAAGAAGGAGCGACAAGCAGUCAGGUCUAAAAUUAAGGUCCUGGAGGAUGAGCUAAAGGCUAUUGACAUGGAGAUGGGUUCGCUUCAAGAAGAUUUAACUGCUGCCAAUGCCAGAAAGGACAAGGCACAUGAAUCAUUGGUCCAAUUGAGACAUGCACGAGAUGCCUAUGUAAGUCAAUGUGUCUUUAAUGUCUUUCAUGCGGGGCAUCAUGUUUUCUCUUCUAAUACUAUCUACCUGGUAUGCCUGGACUAAGAAGGAGCAACACCUAAUUUUUUAAAGUUACUUCAGUUGUGUUGCACACAGUGUUACGGGACACACGGGUCCAAAGUUUUUGACAUAUCAACUUGUUUCUUUUUGCCAACAUGUCUCUGACUCGACUCGACUGGUGGUGCAUCUUCCAGCAGAGUGUAACUGGUAGUCAAGGCAGAAACGCAUUGCUUUGUUGGGGAGGGGAAAGAAAAGGCAUUGGGGAUAGAAUAAUCAAUAAGUGUGAAAAUGAAGUCUGUCUAGGUUGUUUUUUUUUGUCAGCGGCCAACUUUCUAUCCUCUCUAGAGACUUUUUUGUGGAUAAGUGGAUGGAACAGUUAUAAAUGUCCUGGGCUCCUGGUAUGGAUAAACAGACUAGAUAAUUUUCUGUGUGCUAGAAAAGCCUAGAAUGAUGUACCCCCUUUCGUCCCAAAACAGUCCCAAAAUAUAGCUACUUGUCACCACCUACUCCCCCAUAUCAACCAAUUCCAUCUCUCAUUUAAUCUCUACCAUCCCUCUUCUCAACCAAGCACAACCACCCCCAUUUAAUUUCACUUCUCUCCUUAAUCAUCGUGAAAAUUCCAGAAAGUGCUUAUAUUUUGGGACAAGGGGAGUAGAACAUAUGCUGCGUACAAGAGAUUUUGUGAAAUGCUUAAGUCCUUAUAACAGAAUUAAUUAUAUUAGGUGAAUCCUUGACUAUUUAGCAUUUGCUAAAUCAGAUACCUGAAAAUCCAUGACGGAUACGGAUUCCUAUGUCUAUGUGCCGGUAACACUGGAUUUACAGUUCUCAGCAAAUACAUAUAUUUGCAUGUCUUCACAUAACCUCAGUUACACGUCCUUGAGCUGUAAGACAGAUUAAUUUUUGUUUUCCCCCCAAGUUUGGUGCUUUUCUAUGUAUAUACUGACACUAUAAUUACCAAUCGAAUUUCCUUCAUGAUUCAUUGAUACCUCUGCAUAAGGGUAACCUGUUAACAUGUGGUGAUGAAACAUGUUUUUAGUAAUUAAUUGUCUCAUAGUUACUACUCCCUCCAUUCCAAAUUGAUCUACAUAUUUCAUAGGUACACCAAGACCAAUAAAAGCUAAUAACUCUCUCAUACUAUAUUUACUCUAGCAACAAACUCGAUGUAUGCACCAUCCCCACUAUCUCCUAGCCAAUAGCAAAUCAAGAUAUUGCAUGUGGGUUAUAAAUACUUGUGUGCAUGGAUGUAUGCAUCAAUGUCCAUUUACUCCAAUGCACAAAUAACGAAUAGACUUAAUUUAUGAACACAAAUAUGUAGAUCAUUUAGGAAUAACCUCAAAAAAACUAUAUGUAGAUCAAUUUGGAAUGGAGGGAGUAUAUAUUAGCAUGCUUAAGCUAGCUGCUUUUGACUUUGAGGAUGUGGAGUUCAUUUGUCUUUCUACUGAUACCUCUUAUGCUCCCAUGUUUAUCUAGAACGCAUCAUUCCAUCAAAACCGCCAACUUCUGAGCAAAGCUAGGGAUCUUGCUUCUAGGAGUGAGCUUGCACAAGUGCAAGAGCUCUACAAGACACAGGUGUGUGCGCCUCUGGAGCAUUGUUUUAAUAACUGUUCAUCUUUUACGACUUAACAAAAAUGUCCUAACUAAACUUCUGUUGUACUCUUUAUAGGUUGACAAAUUCGUGGCAGAAUGGUGCAACAGCAAGGCCUUCAGAGAGGACUACGAGAAAAGGAUCCUCUCCUCCCUCAACAGUCGACAGCUUAGCCGAGAUGGCCGGAUGAGGAAUCCUGAUGAGAAACCCAUAUUUAUUGAAACAGAGGCAGCAGCACCACCUGUAGAACAAGAGCCUAUCCAAUCAAAAAUGCCUGCAAAACAAGCCAAGGAAGCGCCUGCUCCCCAAGCAGAGGUUUCUCCCAAAGAUGAGUCCCGCGUGAAAGCAAUAGCUAAGCCAUCUAAGGCUAAAUCCUCUCUGGAUGCUGAUGAUGACUAUGAGGCCGAGUCUCCCAAGGAGAAGCCAAAGCCUAAAGAGGUUGAUGUAGCUAAGUUGAAAGAGAUCAAGAGACAGGAGGAGAUGGAGAAGAAUAGACUUGCCCUGGAAAGGAAGAAGAAGCUGGCCGAGAAGCAAGCAGCGAAGGCAGCAGCCCGUGCACAAAAGGAGGCAGAGAAGAAACUCAAGGUAGACAAGUCGUCGUCAUCAUCAUCCCUCUUCCUCGCUGCCACAUUGUAACCAUGUUUAUCUCUCUCGCUUUGCCACAUUGUAACCACGUCAAUGUACUUAUUUUCAGAGAGAGGAGAUGAGGGCCAGGAGGAGGGCUGGGGCAGCUGACACCGAGGCGUCCACUGAAUCGGACAACAGGUCUGAUGGAGCAGCGGAGGCACAAGCAGAGGACGACUCCGCUCCUGCUUCUGCUCCGGUGAUGAGAGAACAGAGGGAGAGUGUCCGGUACAGCAGAAACGUCGUGACCAAGAGCAAGGCCCCGCUGCCGAAGGCGAUCCUGAGGAGGAAGAAAGCCCAGUCGUACUGGUCCUGGGCUGGCCCUGCUGCUGCAGUGGCCGCCGCGCUCGUCGCCCUGCUUGCCGUGCUAGGCUACUACCAGUACUACCUCCCAGCGAGCGCUAGCAACUGAUGGAAGGAAAGCAGGCAGCCCCCCCUUGAGAAUUGCUUACUUGAACAAUUUUGCAGGUGAGAAACAGAGUGCGUGGUCUGCUGAGACGUGGACUGAAAGACUGGAGAUUUGUUCGUUUUCGUUCUGUUAGUUUGAUGAUCGGUGGAUAAGAGUAAGGAAAAAAAAAGGAUAGAAGUUAAUUUUGGUUGGGACUUAGAAUCUCCUAUAUACUGCGAGUGAUCUCAUGUACUCUUAAACUGAAGCAUAGGUUGCCGUUCUGAAAUAAACAAUGCCGCAUGCUUUAGGUUUACUUAUCUGUUCCUAUGAGCCAGAUGAAUUGCUGUGUUGUUCCGUUUUGUUCCAUGAGCAAUCGAUGAUCGUCAUUUGCAUGCUGCUUGCGGAUGUGGGCGAGCUAAUGUCAGUGUGUAGCGUGGGUUUACAAAUCCCCAAAUCUGUCUGUAUCGCUCUAAGGCCCCGUUUAGUUUUCCAAAUUUUUUCCCUAAAACCAUCGUAUCGAAUCUUUAGACAUAUGCAUGAAGCAUUAAAUAUAGAUAAAUGAAAAAACUAAUUGCACAGUUAAUUAGUCCAUGAAGAAGGAAAUCGCGAGACGAAUUUUUUGAGUCUAAUUAGUCUAUGACUAGCCAUAAAUGCUACAGUAACUCACAUGUGCUAGUCUUGCGGUUUCCAGGUGAGUUAUAUUUUUUCAUUCGUGUCCAAAAAACCCUUCCGACAUCCGGUCAAACAUCCGAUAUGACACAUAAAAAUUUUCUUUUCAUGAACUAAACAGGCCCUAAAUCCUGGGCGGGGUUCGCAAAAUUGUCUCGUCACAAAAACCGCUUCCCAGCAGUUUCAUCGAGAAUUGUGAUUGACAAAAAAAAAAGUUCGCAUAAAUUAACACUUAUGAAAUUAUAAUGGCAUGAUUCUAAAUAGUUAAAUAGUAAUGAUAUAUUUUUAAACCGUAAAAUUUAUAAUGACGUAAAUCCAACUAACCCUACAAUUGUACACCCAGCACUUCAGCACAAGUCUCUUACUUUUUGGUGCUCAAAAGAUUUAGUAAAAUUCAACAAUAACAUGGAAUAAUUUUAUUUUAAGUUUAUAUUUCGGGUUGUUUGUGUAAAGGCAAAGACCCGUAGAUUACGCAUGUGCAAAGAUUUUAUGGAGGUUCAAACGCUCCUUUAGAUAAAUAGCCUUAAGCCUGUUGGUUUGUAUAUAUUAGUUCAAAAUUCAUGAUAUAUAAAUAAAGCCAGCUAUAUAUUGUGUUGUUACGGAGCGAGUUUUCCCAUUGACCUAAGGGAGUCCUUCAAUAGUUGAGCAAAGAAGUUCAGGUACGUGUUUUAAUGCUUCAUGGAAGAACCAACAAGGAGAUCUAGACAUCACUUCUGAUUGGGAUUAAGGUAAUGAGCCCUAUCUGAUGUCAGUGGGGAUUGUUUACAGUACCGCAGCAAACACUGACGUAUGGGUCUGGACCCAUAUGUUAGCCACCGCUACUGCAUCAGCAGUAUUGCAGAGAAUUUGCAUCAGCAGUACUGCAUCAGCAGUAUUACAGAUGGGGGUGCACAAAGCCGGGUCAGUUUACCCAACUACCUUCCUCCUCUUAACUAUAACUUAUAUUCAAUUUAUGUCUCUCGAAAAUAGAUAUGAACAUACUUUUUUAAAAAAUAAUACUACAUAUUGUGAAUUUGUGAUCCUUACCUUUACAUUUGAGUUAUGACGAACAACUUUAUCGAUUAUAUAAAAGAAAGGAUGACUUCUUAUCCAAACAAAUCCUAUAGUAAUGUCUUUUUAACUUUCAGUGACUAACAUAUAAACCAUCAAACGAGUCCAUAUUAAAGGAUAAUACUACGAAGAAUUGUCAUCCCACAUUUUUACACUGCCACUAUCAGUUAAAACUGAAAACCAGCUCACCCCAAGCUCACCAAGAAUCUUCGAGAAACUUAUAAACUCCGCCGAAAAAUCUCGGACAAACCCGCGGCUCACACGCCUCCACGCACCCAAACCCCACCCUAGAAUAUCCUCUCCUUGGCCACCGCGCCGCCACAUCAGCCUCCCCAAUCUCCCCGCCCCACGCGCGAGCGCCAAUCGCGAGCCGCCUUUAGAUUUCCCAAGAUAAGGACUCGAUCCCCCCUCACUUCCCGCGCUAUUUAAACUCCCGCGCCAUCUCCAACUCCCAACUCACACUCGCUCGCUCAUCGCCAUCUCUCUCAGCUCUCACAGCUCACUGCAUCAAUGGCCGCGGCCACCAUGGCGCUCUCCUCCCCGGUGAUGGCCCGCGCGGCGCCGUCGACCUCCUCCGCGCUCUUCGGCGAGGCGCGGAUCACCAUGCGCAAGACCGCCGCGAAGCCCAAGCCGGCGGCGUCGUCGGGGAGCCCGUGGUACGGCGCCGACCGCGUCCUCUACCUCGGCCCGCUCUCCGGCGAGCCGCCGAGCUACCUCACCGGCGAGUUCCCGGGCGACUACGGGUGGGACACCGCGGGGCUCUCCGCCGACCCGGAGACGUUCGCCAAGAACCGGGAGCUGGAGGUGAUCCACUCCCGGUGGGCGAUGCUGGGCGCGCUCGGCUGCGUCUUCCCGGAGCUCCUCGCCCGGAACGGCGUCAAGUUCGGCGAGGCCGUGUGGUUCAAGGCGGGCUCGCAGAUCUUCAGCGAGGGCGGGCUCGACUACCUCGGCAACCCGAGCCUGAUCCACGCGCAGAGCAUCCUCGCCAUCUGGGCGGUGCAGGUGGUGCUCAUGGGCGCCGUCGAGGGGUACCGCAUCGCCGGCGGGCCGCUCGGCGAGGUCGUCGACCCGCUCUACCCCGGCGGCGCCUUCGACCCGCUCGGCCUCGCCGAUGACCCCGAGGCGUUCGCGGAGCUCAAGGUGAAGGAGAUCAAGAACGGCCGCCUCGCCAUGUUCUCCAUGUUCGGCUUCUUCGUCCAGGCCAUCGUCACCGGCAAGGGCCCCCUCGAGAACCUCGCCGACCACCUCGCCGACCCCGUCAACAACAACGCCUGGGCGUACGCCACCAACUUCGUCCCCGGCAAGUGAAGUGGGGGACCGUAGCUUAGCAGUGGUUAAUUGUGGUUGGAUGGAUUUGUGGCCAGCGAGUUCGUUGUCUUUGGGUUGGGGAAGAUGGGUUUAGUGCGACGAGAU